GGCAGGGAGGCCAAACGUCCAGGAGCCCAGAGGCAGCAGGAGCUCUGGGGAAGGCCCUGCUUCGCUGCUGUGGGGGUGCCCCAGGGUCUCCCUGCAUUCCCCCUUCCCUCUCUUCCAGAGAAGAGAACAACGAUAAACAGAAUGAAUGAGAGGGAGGAGGAAACAAUACCCAUGAAACUGUAAUACUUUUACAGCUGCUGGAAGCACUCUUCAAUAGGAACCAAAUAAAUCUAUACCACCUGUCUGUCUGAAUUGGAGGCCAAAUAAUUCUGUUAUUCUAUCUCAACAUUUAAGAAGUAAUAAAGCAUCUCAACCUCAUUUUUCAUGCCAUGAAGAAAACAAACCAGAAGGGGAAUAAUAAGACCUUUGUUAGGCAAUUUACAGGCAUGUGACUUGGAAUUACAGUAAAAUCUUCAUCAUUGAUCCAAAAAUUCUCUGCAAUCUGAAGCACAGUGUCUUUGCUUCAAAUUUGACAUCUCUUACAUUUUAGUUGAUGAAUCCAAUGAUGAAAGAGAUGGAAGCUGACUUUCAAGUUGUUAUUUUGUCUUAUUAAUAAGAGGGAUGGAAUGAUGGAGGAAGAGGUGAUCGAUACACAAGGAAAAGAUAAGACGCAUUCGCAAUUUCAGUCCAAAAACACAUAUGUUAAUAGAAGAAACUACAAGAGCAAUCUUUAAAAGAAAGCUUUUUUGGUGAAAAGUGAUAUAUAGGAUCUUGAUUUAGAAAUUAUUCUGUCUACUGUAGUGACUAAAAAACCCAAACCAAAAUUAAUGGGGAUGACUGUUCCAAACUCAAGUGCAUACAAACAAACCUGAGAAUGUGCAUUUUCUGUAGUAUCUAUUCACACCAGAGGAAGGUUGUAUCAAACUGGUGCAUACAAACCCAAACAGAGGUAACCUUUUAUUACAGGAAAUAUGCUUCCAGGAGCAGGAUGUUAUUAAAUGUGAAUUAGUAUCAAUUGAUUACCCAGAUAAUUCUUCAAACUUAUCUACUUUUUCCAACAACACUUUUUUAAAAUUUUGUGACAAAAAUCAAGAACAGAAGACAUACAAAAUAAAGUAAUUUUUACAAAUUGUAUCAAGAGCAAACAUGUAUUUUGAAGUCAGUUUUAGAUAAAGUAUUUACAACCACUGAAGCUGUCAAAAUUUUUUAUUUGGCUGUAAGAUCAACAUUUCUGAGCUUAAUUUUUUUUCCUCAGAGUUAUGAUUUUUUUCCCCUUGGAAAUUCUGGGUACAUUUUCAGAAGUGGUUAGGUUAUUUAGGUGGUCUUCAGCAUCUAAAGGUCUGCAUUUAUUGUAGAAAUCCUAGCAAAUUGAAAGUAGAAAAACAUUAAAUUUGCACAAUCUGGAGCUCCAUUAGAACAGCCUACUUCAAAGCACCAGUCUGACAAAGCACUUAAAUCUUUUCUGGAUUUCUCUCUCAGCCAUAAUCUUCCCAAUUUUAGCAAGGCAUUUACAUGCUUUAUGUCAAGAACUAGUUUUAAAACUUUACUGAAACAGAGCUGAAAAGUUGCUUUACUGAUUCAAAGUGCCAGAGCAAUUCAAGUUUUCUCCCCCUUUAACUGUAGGUUAUGUGCACUUUGCAUUCCUUGUGAGCUGCUGUUCUUAUACACUGCUCCAACCUUCUGGAAUGCACUGUGUACAGACAGACAGCAUCUACCAACACUCCUCAGAGUGCCUUAACACUUUGAAAGAAUAGCAGUUUUCCCGAUCAAAUAUAUGUUGCACGUCCAACUUAUGAAAAAGAAUUACUAAAAUAAUCUUCACAUAACUUAUUUGAAUGCAUGAAUUUGAAGUCAGAACAAGGAUUUGAGAUCAAUACAGGAUUUGAAACUAGAUAUGCAAUUUUAUUAUAAAGGCAGGCAAAUUAGCGAGAUCAGGGUAGAAGUGAGAGAGCUCAUAAGGGGAGGAGAACAUCUGCCCAACUCAGGUGGGAGCAUUAUUCUUUUCCAGAGGUUAAUAUGUUUCAAGACAACCUCAGAAAUGACCAGCUUACUUUACAAAAAUGACCUUAUCUUCAGAUCUUACAACGUCUGGAUUCAUAUCCAGAUCAUACAACAUCUUCAUAUCCAGAUUGGAUCUCAUGUCUCAGGACCUGUUGUACUCUGCUAGAACAUGUACUAUCACUGUUCCUUUGGAGGCCAUUUCUAUUUGAAGUGAGACUCUCAGAUGCAGAGGAAUAAAAGUAUUUGGUGAGACUGCACAGAUCAAACCAUCCGUGUCUCCUAUGAGACAGACACAUAUGAGUACACAGCAAGGAGUGUCAAAUUCUAACCUUUUGCCUGAAGAAGCUCAAUUGCCUUUCUACCAAGUAUGGACAUGCCAAGAGAAAGAAUUAGCUAACAGAAUAAGGCCAGUUUGGCUUUACACUUCUUUAUCUCCAUCAGUUGUGAAACAUUAUAAAGAUGCCAUUAGACCCCCAGGUUGUCUCCAAUUUUACAGCAGGCUUAUGUGUGAAAGCAGGACAUGGAAUAUAAGCUACAGUUCACCUCAGUGUAUGACUGUCACCACAGAAGAGAUUUCUAGAAAUGCUACUGAUUAAGGAUUAGAUUUACAUGAGUGACUUUUGUUUAUUAUGUUGAUGUAUCCUAAUUAAAUGUGUUUGAUAUGACACCUACCAUGAUGGCACUUAACUGCCGGUGUGGCUGUCUGCACAUUGUAUCCUCUUGUCCCUCCUGAGAAAGCAACUAUCUUAUUUUUAUUCUUACUUGAAUGCCUUCACAAUAUUUUGUUAUGAUCAAACAUUUAGAGGCAGGACAGCCUAAUAGACUUUAAAAAGAAUUGAAAAAACAAGAACUCAUGUUCAAUUUAUCACCAAAGGAAUACUCAGCCCUUGGCAAUAAUAACAAUUUGUGAACAUUUCCCAGCUGUGUCAGACAGAGCUGUGUCCAACAGUAUUAACACUAAGAUUACUAAAUAGGCCUCAUUUUCUUUUUCCUCAACUCCAUGGAUUAUUUAGAUCAGAUUACAAUGCAAUCUAUUUGCUCAUUUCAUCUAUGUACGAUAUAGAUUAAAGCUUGAUAAGUUUACAUGAAACAAUGCAGAUGCAAAGUUCUAGCUGAACUCCAUAUAUUUUUAAUAUCCUAAAUAGGACUGUCUUUAUUUGAAGCAUGAGCUGAAUUAUGCUUUAAGUUCAGAAACACAACAAAUAAUUUGGAAGCUUGCAAGCCACGGUGGAGCUUCCUUGGCAACAUAUUCUAUAAUUGUGACAUACCACUAAAAGUCCAAAGAUCAUGCAGCUUCUGUGCUACAUCGAGUUAUUCUUCCUGUCAUUAAGAGAUUUGUUUUUAAAACUAUGUGUUACACCAUAUUGUGGCAUUUGUGAUGGCAGCAAGAAAGGCAUACGGUUUGUUCUCCUGAUGUGGUAUGUUACCCUACUUGUUCUAUAAAUAUGUGAGUACAAAAAUGAAGACUUAACCAUAACCUAUGAGACUUAAGUGACUGUACAGCAUCCAGCUUUGGAAAGGAAAAAGCAACAACAAAAAGGCAAAGUCUUCAACAGGAAAAAAAGUGCAGUCUCUUCUUCUAAUAGGCUACAGCAAAUCUGCAGACAAAGAAGCAGAAAUGUUAUGUCUGCCCUUAUGAAGUUCCUAUAUGAGCUGCCAGUAGCAGAAGAGUUUCCAGAGCAGGAUGUAGACUGAAGAGUGAUCUAUUCUUGGCAUCAUGCAUGACAUUUCAAAAUUUGAUUACAAAAAUGUGAAUUUUUAAUAAAAAUGCAAAUAUUAAUCUGGGAACUUUCUUUUCCUACAUGUUCAGCACAUGCUAGUGACAAAAAUAUCCUGAAAUACUUAGAUUUCAGAUAUUUCUAAAGUAGUGAUAGCUAGUAUGGCACAGCUUUUCAAAAUUUUUCUGAGACAGAUAUGACAAAUAUAUGACAGAUUAUAAUGUUGCCUAUUCAUUAUUAUUUAACCCAAAAAAAUCAAGCCCCACAAUUUGAUUUUAAAAAACAGAUGUCCUCAAACAGAUGCCCUUGUAAAGGAAAACCUCAGAAGUUCCAAAAGCUUAUAAUUUUUUUAAUCUCUCUGGUUUUUUUCCAUUCUUCUUGUCUAGUUCUCAAUCAUUUAAAUCUGUUCUCAAGAAAGCCUUCUACUCUAGAGAAAAAAGCCAUAAAAUGUACUUCUUAGUUGUUUGUAUGAGAGGGUUUCACAUUCCGCUGUGUGGCCAGACAAAUAGUUACAGUCAGAUACAGCAGAUACAGCUGAACAAUUCCAUGCCAUAGAAAUCCAGAGUCCAACCAAUGUGCCUUUUACAUGGGAUGUGAGGCAAUCUGCAUUAGAAUAGUUGGCAAAGUCUCAGCAAGUAUUGAAAACUACCAUUUACUGAAAUGUUACUGGAGGCUGUGAGAGAUGAAGUUCAGUCUGGCUCAGCUCAACAGACCAAGAUGCAAUACAGUUGGAGUCAUAUCUGCACCUCCUGCCUGAUCAUUCAUGGUAUUAGACAAAGCCCUUUAGUGUGCCCAUCUGCAUGGAAAGUGGUAAUGACAGCUGGUUUUCUGCCUGACUCUGUCUGAGGGCCAUUUUAUGUUCUAGAGCAUUAAACAGUAGAUGUA
Long non-coding RNA from Passer domesticus (house sparrow), 4544 nucleotides. RefSeq lists it as uncharacterized. The record is from RefSeq and is a predicted model, not a curated record. NCBI's taxonomy places the organism in Eukaryota, Metazoa, Chordata, Aves, Passeriformes, Passeridae. The transcript has 6 exons.